AGCGAACGCUGGCGGCAGGCUUAACACAUGCAAGUCGAGCGGGCAUAGCAAUAUGUCAGCGGCAGACGGGUGAGUAACGCGUGGGAACGUACCUUUUGGUUCGGAACAACACAGGGAAACUUGUGCUAAUACCGGAUAAGCCCUUACGGGGAAAGAUUUAUCGCCGAAAGAUCGGCCCGCGUCUGAUUAGCUAGUUGGUGAGGUAAUGGCUCACCAAGGCGACGAUCAGUAGCUGGUCUGAGAGGAUGAUCAGCCACAUUGGGACUGAGACACGGCCCAAACUCCUACGGGAGGCAGCAGUGGGGAAUAUUGGACAAUGGGCGCAAGCCUGAUCCAGCCAUGCCGCGUGAGUGAUGAAGGCCCUAGGGUUGUAAAGCUCUUUUGUGCGGGAAGAUAAUGACGGUACCGCAAGAAUAAGCCCCGGCUAACUUCGUGCCAGCAGCCGCGGUAAUACGAAGGGGGCUAGCGUUGCUCGGAAUCACUGGGCGUAAAGGGUGCGUAGGCGGGUCUUUAAGUCAGGGGUGAAAUCCUGGAGCUCAACUCCAGAACUGCCUUUGAUACUGAAGAUCUUGAGUUCGGGAGAGGUGAGUGGAACUGCGAGUGUAGAGGUGAAAUUCGUAGAUAUUCGCAAGAACACCAGUGGCGAAGGCGGCUCACUGGCCCGAUACUGACGCUGAGGCACGAAAGCGUGGGGAGCAAACAGG
This 704-nucleotide ribosomal RNA is filed under the name uncultured Bradyrhizobiaceae bacterium. RNAcentral's name for it is "bacterial SSU rRNA". It matches the Rfam family "Bacterial small subunit ribosomal RNA", at positions 28 to 776 of the family's 1533-position model. The record is from RNAcentral. Lineage: Bacteria; Pseudomonadati; Pseudomonadota; Alphaproteobacteria; Hyphomicrobiales; Nitrobacteraceae.